RNAcentral lists this transfer RNA (69 nucleotides) under Candidatus Bathyarchaeota archaeon. RNAcentral's name for it is "tRNA-Ala". It matches the Rfam family "tRNA". Rfam says of the family: Transfer RNA (tRNA) molecules are approximately 80 nucleotides in length. Their secondary structure includes four short double-helical elements and three loops (D, anti-codon, and T loops). The record is from RNAcentral. Lineage: Archaea; Thermoproteati; Candidatus Bathyarchaeota.
UGGCCGGUGAAUUACUAAAUCGUCCGCUUGGCAUGCGGAAGGUCGCGGGUUCAAAUCCCGCCCGGUCCA